UCCUAGUUAACCUAGGCAGUCUUGCCAGAGUCCCCGCCAUUACGCGUUGGCAACUGACAAUAAGGGUUGCGCUCGUUGCGGGACUUAACCCAACACCUCACGGCACGAGCUGACGACAGCCAUGCAGCACCUAUAAUAAACCCCUUUCGGGAAACAGAAUCUCUCCUGUCGCGCUUAUCAUUUCGAGCCUGGGUAAGGUUCUUCGCGUAGCAUCGAAUUAAACCACAUGCUCCACUGCUUGUGCGGGCCCCCGUCAAUUCUUUUGAGUUUCACCCUUGCGAGCGUACUCCUCAGGCGGCAUACUUAACGCGUUAGCUCCGAUACAGACAGGGUUGAGCCCGCCUACAUCUAGUAUGCAUCGUUUAAGGCUAGGACUAC
RNAcentral lists this unclassified non-coding RNA (378 nucleotides) under uncultured Chlamydiales bacterium. RNAcentral describes it as "contains 16S-23S intergenic spacer region". Lineage: Bacteria; Pseudomonadati; Chlamydiota; Chlamydiia; Chlamydiales. The record is from RNAcentral.